Molecule: transfer RNA, 56 nt
Filed under: Schistocephalus solidus
Lineage: Eukaryota; Metazoa; Platyhelminthes; Cestoda; Diphyllobothriidea; Diphyllobothriidae
Rfam family: tRNA
About the family: Transfer RNA (tRNA) molecules are approximately 80 nucleotides in length. Their secondary structure includes four short double-helical elements and three loops (D, anti-codon, and T loops).
Source: Rfam by way of RNAcentral
GAGCCCGUGGCUCAAUGGUAGAGCGUUCGACUCAAAAACUAAACGUUGCGGGUUCG